GCCUCACCCUGGUCUUCAGCAUCAAUGAUAUUUCCUCCAGCCCUAGGCAUGCCUUUAAAUGCUGAAUGGAAUGGCUGCAUGAUCAAGUUGUGGAAAAGUUUACUUGCAUACCAUCUCCAAGGAUCUGGCACAUCUAAUAGUUUCACUUUGGUUCUUCAGCAGUUUCUUUCGAAAUUGCUCAUUACACUUCUGGGG
Non-coding RNA from Coffea arabica (coffee), 195 nucleotides. Lineage: Eukaryota; Viridiplantae; Streptophyta; Magnoliopsida; Gentianales; Rubiaceae. The record is from RefSeq and is a predicted model, not a curated record.